GUGCAGCAGUCGAGAAUACUUUACAAUGUGCGAAAGCACGAUAAGGGAACUCUGAGUGCCUCCUAAGGAGGCUGUUCUGAUGUCUAAAAAGCAACAGAAGUAAGGGCUGGGUAAGACCGGUGCCAGCCGCCGCGGUAACACCGGCAGCCCAAGUGGUAGCCACGUUUAUUGGGUCUAAAGCGUUCGUAGCCGGCCAGGUAAGUUCCUUGGUAAAUUUAGCCGCUUAACGGUUAAGCUUUCAGGGAAUACUGCUUGGCUUGGGACUGGGAGAGGUCAGAGGUACUCCGGGGGUAGGGGUGAAAUCUAUUAAUCCCUGGGGACCACCGGUAGCGAAGGCGUCUGACCAGACCAGGUCCGACGGUGAGGGACGAAGGCUAGGGGCGCGAACCGGAUUAGAUACCCCCGUAGU
This 409-nucleotide ribosomal RNA is filed under the name uncultured microorganism. Its description in RNAcentral is "bacterial SSU rRNA". It matches the Rfam family "Archaeal small subunit ribosomal RNA", at positions 330 to 745 of the family's 1478-position model. The record is from RNAcentral.